RNAcentral lists this ribosomal RNA (525 nucleotides) under uncultured bacterium. RNAcentral's name for it is "bacterial SSU rRNA". It matches the Rfam family "Bacterial small subunit ribosomal RNA", at positions 984 to 1509 of the family's 1533-position model. The record is from RNAcentral.
ACAUCCAGCGAACUUGGCAGAGAUGCCUUGGUGCCUUCGGGAACGCUGAGACAGGUGCUGCAUGGCUGUCGUCAGCUCGUGUUGUGGAAUGUUGGGUUAAGUCCCGNAACGAGCGCAACCCUUAUCCUUUGUUGCCAGCGAUUCGGUCGGGAACUCAAAGGAGACUGCCGGUGAUAAACCGGAGGAAGGUGGGGAUGACGUCAAGUCAUCAUGGCCCUUACGAGUAGGGCUACACACGUGCUACAAUGGCGCAUACAAAGAGAAGCGACCUCGCGAGAGCAAGCGGACCUCAUAAAGUGCGUCGUAGUCCGGAUCGGAGUCUGCAACUCGACUCCGUGAAGUCGGAAUCGCUAGUAAUCGUGGAUCAGAAUGCCACGGUGAAUACGUUCCCGGGCCUUGUACACACCGCCCGUCACACCAUGGGAGUGGGUUGCAAAAGAAGUAGGUAGCUUAACCUUCGGGAGGGCGCUUACCACUUUGUGAUUCAUGACUGGGGUGAAGUCGUAACAAGGUAGGCGUAGCGAG